Molecule: ribosomal RNA, 449 nt
Filed under: uncultured prokaryote
Description: bacterial SSU rRNA
Rfam family: Bacterial small subunit ribosomal RNA
Source: RNAcentral
UGGGGAAUAUUCCGCAAUGGACGAAAGUCUGACGGAGCAACGCCGCGUGAGUGAAGAAGGCCUUCGGGUCGUAAAGCACUGUCCUCAGGGAAGAACCGCUUCAACAGGAAAUGGUUGAGGUCUGACGGUACCUGAGGAGGAAGCCCUGGCUAACUACGUGCCAGCAGCCGCGGUAAUACGUAGAGGGCAAGCGUUGUCCGGAAUCACUGGGCGUAAAGGGUACGCAGGCGGAUAUAUAAGUCAAAUGUGAAAGGUAUCGGCUUAACCGGUAGAAGGCAAUUGAAACUAUAUAUCUUGAGUGCAGGAGAGGAGAGUGGAAUUCCUGGUGUAGUGGUAAAAUGCGUAGAUAUCAGGAAGAACACCGGUGGCGAAGGCGGCUCUCUGGCCUGCAACUGACGCUGAGGUACGAAAGCUGGGGGAGCAAACGGGAUUAGAUACCCCCGUAGUCC